This 845-nucleotide ribosomal RNA is filed under the name uncultured bacterium. Its description in RNAcentral is "bacterial SSU rRNA". It matches the Rfam family "Bacterial small subunit ribosomal RNA", at positions 93 to 931 of the family's 1533-position model. The record is from RNAcentral.
CACCGGCGAACGGGUGCGGAACACGUGAGCGACCUGCCCUGGGAUGGGGGAUAGCCGGCCCAACGGCCGGGUAAUACCGCAUACGGCCUGCCGCAUUGGGCGGUGAGGCGAAACCUGUGGCAACACAGGGUCCGAGGAGGGGCUCGCGGCCUAUCAGCUAGUUGGGGGGGUAACGGCUUCCCAAGGCGAUGACGGGUAGCUGGUCUGAGAGGAUGGCCAGCCACAUUGGGACUGAGAGACGGCCCAGACUCCUACGGGAGGCAGCAGUGGGGAAUCUUGCGCAAUGGGCGGAAGCCUGACGCAGCGACGCCGCGUGGGGGAGGAAGGCCUUCGGGUUGUAAACCCCUUUGGCCCGGGACGAAGCCGCACUAUGGAGUGCGCUGACGGUACCGGGAGAACAAGCACCGGCUAACUCUGUGCCAGCAGCCGCGGUAAUACAGAGGGUGCGAGCGUUGUCCGGAAUCACUGGGCGUAAAGGGAGCGUAGGUGGCUGAGUGCGCGUGCCGUGAAAGCCCGGGGCUUAACCCCGGGUCGGCGGUGCGAACGGCUGAGCUGGAGCAUGCGAGAGGCAGGCGGAAUUCCGGGUGUAGCGGUGGAAUGCGUAGAGAUCCGGAAGAACACCGGGGGCGAAGGCGGCCUGCUGGCGCAGUAGCUGACACUGAGGCGCGACAGCGUGGGGAGCAAACAGGAUUAGAUACCCUGUUAGUCCACGCCGUAAACGAUGGGCACUAGGUGCUUGGGGGAGCGACCCCUCGGGUGCCGGCGCUAACGCAUUAAGUGCCCCGCCUGGGGAGUACGGCCGCAAGGCUGAAACUCAAAGGAAUUGACGGGGGCCCGCACAAGCG